Molecule: long non-coding RNA, 7831 nt
Filed under: Homo sapiens (human)
Lineage: Eukaryota; Metazoa; Chordata; Mammalia; Primates; Hominidae
Description: PAX8 antisense RNA 1
Source: RNAcentral
GGGGUGGAGCUAGAACUGGACACCUCGGGGGUUUCCUGCUUUAUGGCGAAGGACACAUAUACUCACAGAAAUGAGUUAUUUAAAGAAGACGGUCCAGAUUCCACAGUCCAAAAAAAAAAGAGGUUUGCCCUGCUUCUGAAGGAGUCAGGGUAUGAAUGCAGAGGUCUUCCUGUUGGCUCACAUAUCAGAUCUUCAACGUCAACAUUAAAUGCUGAAAGAACAUCAGUGUAUCAGCACAGCAAAUAUUCCAAAUGCCAGGCUGGAUUCCCUCCAAUUACCAGGACCUCCAGGCUUCUCCUCCUUUCAAGAACUUUCUGACCCUGGAUCCAGUCUAAAUGUUGGUUAUAAACUCACCUGACAUCCACAGGGCCCUUCCAAAAUACUGUCAAGGCUGACUGCUGGUGCCUGGAACCUGCACACCCUCCUGGGACUCUGCAUCUCUGCUGGGGCUGGUUUCUCCUCUGAGCCACCUUAAGGAAUCCCACCCUGACCCGGUCAGAGCUCACCAUGCCUCCCUCUCCUACUUGCUCAGCAUUUUGUGUCUAUCUAGACUGAAGCCUUUGCUUUCUCUCUGUGAUUAUGGUGAAAGUUCAGUUUGCUUUCCUAUCUCUAGAAUGUCAGCACGAAGGCAGAGGCAUGGUCUCCUGAGUUCCAUAACCCCAAAGCCUAACUCCCUGCCUGCCACACUGAGGGGCUUAGUAGACAUUGACUUACUAAAUUGAAUAGUUGAGUAAUAAUGCUCUUUGAAAUAAUUUGGAGUUAGAUCUUGAGCCUUGUGUGGCCAGAGGAUGGGUGAGGACACAUCAUAAAAACUAAAGGUAACUGAGCAUGCCAGUGGUUGGGGUGAGAAAUUUGCAUGGAGCACUCCAGACACAGAGGCAGCAAAACCCAAGUGCUGGGAAGUCAGAGUGAGAGAGUGAAGGGGCAGUGAGUGCUUCUUUAGGAGCUGGAUCAAAACCUAAGAUGAUCUGGCCACAUGGUGCAGACUGAGCACACACUUGGGAGAGAAAUGGGCCAGGAGGAGAGGAGAGAGGUUCACCACAGGACAGUGGAUGACUGGGAAUAGAAGCCCUCCCCAUGGUGGACCAAGAAGUCUGUGAAGCUGAGAGAAAGACAAAAGAAAUCACGACUUCUGUAGGUAGCUGGGAUGGAAACCUCAGGGGUGACAGGGUCUUUAAAGGAAAUCUCAAGGAAGGCAUCAUGUUCUGGGUGUGCUCCAGGGAUGCUGAGUAAGAAAAGACCAGCCUUUCUGUGUGUGUCUUUACUCUGCCACAAGGCACCUGGGCUCCUAAAUGACCAAUACACAUGUGCUAUACUGGUGCCAAGAAAGAAGGGUGUUUUGUAGGAAAGUCAAGGUGAGAGGAGGUGCCCAGGACUUGGCUCCUUUCUUUGAAGGGUGACGGUGUAAAUUCUCCAUGCUGGGGAUCCUACUGAUGGAUGGAGGCAUGUCGAUCUCAUCAUUUCACAGAGUGGGGAGCUAUGGCCACAACGUGCCUAUCACACAAGUCCAGCCUCACGUCAGCUGGACACCAGCUGUUCUGACACUUGUCAGCACAUGGGGCACCCGGAAGUUCAUGGUGUUCUGCAAAGAACGCCACAAAACAGUGAGCUCAACUUCUUGAAAGUCAUAAUGUGUUGCUAAGUCCGAUCCCAGAUCCUAAAAAUAAUAUGAGGUAGUGGCCAUUGAACAGAAAAAAUUUACAUCUUAAACUUGAAGAUAAGUACAAGUGUACCUUUUUCUACCACUGUUGUUCAGUUUUAUUAUAUUGACAAGCACCUCUGCCCACCCUGUGGGGUAAAACUGUUUGAAAGUGUUUAUGAAAGUUUUAUAUAAAUAUUGGUUGAUCAAAUGUACAAAAUAUGCAUGAUGGCACCAUAUUGUGUAUAAUAGUGACAAAUACAGUCUAUGUGGGUGGAGAAACAAGCUCGGUGUUGUGCAUGCGGCUGUGGUUUGUGUUCACACUUCUCCUUUAGAGUGUAGUAGACAGAACAUGCCUGAACUGCCUGGGGCUGAGGGGUCUCAGGCGCAGAGUGGCCCAGGAAUUCUGAGCAAGGACAGAAUGUUAGAGAGAAUAUCCUGAGCUGAGCAGAGAGGCCUGCCCAUGCUAGCUGGCAGCCACCUGCCUUCAGUGCUUCAUUCUUGGGGGACCUUGAGGCCAGUUCUUGAGUGGAUGAGUCCUGCCGCUACUGCUGCUGCCCACUUGGUAGCUCUGUCCUCAUCUGGGAAGAGCCACUGUGAACCCCAGAGACCUAGUGGUGCUAGGGGCUGAUGCAGGCAAAUGACUGGCUGCCCCUGGAUCUUAUGUGAAAACAAGAAUGCUGGACCAAAAGGUCUCUACAGGGCUCCAUGACUACCCAUGACCCGUAACUUCAGUGAGGAGCUAGUGGCCAGGAGGGGCUCAUGGUUGGACACUGGUAUUCCUCUACUCAGACCUUAAACCACAGGUUGCAAGAACAGGGAGGUCACAUGUCAGUGACCUCAUGCCUAAAUAGAUGCAUAGCACAGAGCAGAUUCCUGGAUAGCUUACACCCUACUUUCCCCAGUGCAUCGAUUAUGACUUCCUUUCUAGCAACUGUGAGUACAGCCGGGACUCAUCAAUCACACCUGUAACUUCCCAGCUGCAUUUCUCAGGGUCUCUGAAAGCAGGGCCUUCUCUGGUCUUUUUAAAUUACCCACAGACCUAGGACAGUCUUCUGCACAUACUUCUACAUUUUAAAGGCUUACUUUUAGUAUGUUUAUGUGUGUGAGAUGGGGAAUAUUGUAUUCAUGUGUGCAUGUAUAUGUCUGUGAGUACUGUGGUCUGUGUGUGUAACUGGGUAUGACUGUGUGUGUCAUAUGGAUACAGGGGACUAGAAUGAGGACAGCCAGGUGUCCAGGCUAUAAGAUCUAAGGAGGCACUUGCUCUCAGGGCCAACCCUGCCCUUGCGUGAGCCUGAGAGAGAGAGCCUCCUGGAAUUUUGCACCUUGAGUGCCUUCCUGCUUCACCCUAAUCCCCCCGGUUGUCUGUAUGUUUGGAUGUGAGUGUUGUACAUAUGCUGUGUAUGUGUGUGCAUGCAUGUGAGUGUGCAUGGGUGUGUGUCUGUAUGUCUCAGCAGCUGUCACUGGGCUUCCCAGUCCCUGUCAGCAGGCGAAGGAGGCCCCUUCAUUUCCUUGGGUCCUGCUUAUGCAGCACAGGCCACAGCAAAGGCUCCCUGGGUUGGGUCAGCCCUCACUCUAACUCAACAUGCCCUGGAAGUCACCACAGGGUCAUGGAAAGAGUCCUGGUGAUGAGAUGGAGUGUCUGCUCUGCCACAAGGGCUGUGGGACCAGGGUCGGGGCAUACCUCUCUGGGUCUCAGUUUCCUCACUGGUAAGAUGUGGCAACAGAAUCUCAUCUGUGAGCCCCCUCUAGCCUUGAACAACUCUGGAUCCAGGUAGACCAGCAUAAUGAAAGCCUAUGAAGCUUCUGAGAUGUGCGAGGCAUACAUUGUCCCAGGUACUCAAGUAACUCAAGUCUGGAAGCUGCGAGCCACAGAGAUCAAGCCUUCUCCAAAAAUUGGACUGCAAGGCAUGCCGUACAAACAGAGUGCUAGGAGACCUUGGGGAGGUGGGGAAGAGGAAGAGGAAUCAUGGACAGCUUCAUGGGGAGGUGGCUUUGGAGCUGGGAUGGGUGAGGACAGCUGGAAUGUGGGCAGCACGUGACCAAGUGCUUUGCAGACAUGGCAUGGCCCCCAGCCAGGCCCUGAGGAAAGGAGAGUCUCAGGACAGCAGCUAUGUCACUGUAAGCAGGACCCUUGAAAGCAGGUGCCACCUGCAAAAGGGGGAGCCCUGAGGCCCAGGCAGGCCUGUCACAGUGUGGGGCACCUGUCUAGACAGCCCCAUGGCCAGCAGUGGGGGUGGGCCAUGGGCCAUGGGGACCUUCCUGGUAUGGGGUACUGCCAUGUCCCCAGGGAAUAUGGGGGGCCCAGGAAGGUCCCCAAGGCUCGAAGGACCCAGGUCUUUUCAUACUGCCAAAGAGAUGUAAGGCCUACAGAGGGGAAAGUUUGCAUAUCUGUGAAGGCAUGGAGCCUAGGCAUUGGAAGUGUCCAGUAAGCAUUUUCAUUUGGCAGAAGUAUCUCCAUGGCACUUCUACCUACAGCCCUGCCACAUUUUGCCACAAACUGUCCAGCAGCCCUGAGAUGGAGCCCCAGUGUAGACCGUCAUGGAGCACACUGGCUCUGGAACAAUGAGGAGCAGACUGGAGAAAGCCAGAUGGGGUUUACCUGUCAACAGCCACAACAUAGUUGUGCUGGGGUGACUGUUCAAGAAAAAUGAACUUUGGUGCUCCUGCCGAAUGGGUUGUUAGUGUUCAGUCCUUUUCCUACCACUGAGUUGUUUUGUCUGAUCAUUCUUCCUCCUGGUUCUGCGGGUCUGCCUUCUUGAAAGGGAAGAGCAAGACUCCAGCUCCCUGCCCUGUAGAGGUGCCUUCUACCUUGCUCAGUGUUGAAGCAAAGGAGCAAAGCAAAGCUUAAGUCAGAGAUUUGGUGCUCAGCUAAUCACAGAGACUUUUAAAUGUCAACCAGGGUUUGCUAUCAGGCCAAAGCUGGAUUAUUAUUACCCAAAGUAGAAAAUUGUGAGACAGAGGCAGGUGGGGAGGGAGGGAGAGAGAAGAAAGCAGAAGGUGGAGGAUACGUGGAUUUAAUUUUUUAAAAAUAAAUAUAUGAUUCCGUGUCAAUUAAAAACAAGUACCCCAGGCAAGUCUUCCUGCAGUCCUGUCUUAGCCGCACACACAGCAUAACUGCAAACCCACUUGAGCUCAUUUUUGCUCAAAGACCAACUCUAUUAAACCCUUAGAAUGUUCUGGAUUUCAACACACAGUCCACAGACAGCCAUUCUAUCAAAAGCUUAGUGUUUUCCCUAUGACUGGGUUUUCUGGUAAGGUGAACUAAGGCAUCCUUUUCCAUUUCAGGCUGUGGUAACAGCAGAUAACAGCCGCAGAGGUCAUAGCCAGCACUUUCUAUGCGUCCCUUCAUUUAAUCCCAGUACUCCUAGGUGGUAGAUCUAUUAUUUUGUCCACAUGAAUUAUUGAAAAGUCUGUCCUAAAUUUUAAAUGGAACGAAGUACUGGGUUGCAAGUUACUGGUGGCUGUUUCACAGGAAAUACUACGACAAUGGGACUUUGGGAAUGUGUUCUGGAGACUCCACUCCUUGGUGACUACUACAUGGAGCACAGAAAAUUGUCUUGAGUGGCAGCUAUGUGCCAGGUGAGGAGACAGGUUUUACUCACAUGACUCCCCAGAAGCCCUGCAGCAUCCCCAUAUUUUAUAAAGGGGAAGUACAAGCCCAGAGAGACAUCUGACUUGACUAAGUUCACACAAAAACAGCAAGGUCUGGGCCAAGAUGGAAGCCCGGGCUUUGCCUUCUUCUUCUGCCUGCAGGGCAGGGGCUUUCAUCCUGGCUUCACGCUGAUUUCAAAAGCCUCUCAUUCUCUUGACACCUCAUGGCCCCUGAGUUUAUCCCAAGAAUAAUAAGUUCUACUGUCCUCCUGGAGAUGCCGAAGAAUCAAAACUGCAACACACAGAGGGCCUGGGUGUGCGCGAACACUGUAGUACACACCGAUGACAGCAGAUUAAGCCAUUUCUCUCUUAGGUGCGUCACCCAACCAGCUCCUGGACCCUUCUGCUGUGCUGCCCUGACAGUCACAAUAUGUCCUAGUGGACUAAUUAGCACUAACUACCCAUGUCACCCCAAGGCCAUUUAAGAAGACAAAUAAAAAAGACAAAACCAAUGAGUAUUGUGGCUGAAGAUGACGAAAAAAAGUUAAAAGCAGGGAGGAAUGAAUUAUUUUUUCUUUCUCAAUCUCUCCCUCUGCUUAAACCAAAGAGAGGUUUUCAUCUGAGAGCCCGGGAGCUAAGCAGCUACUUUCUACAUGAAAAAGUGAAAACAUUAAAAUAAAAUCCCUUUCUUUCAAGCUAACGUUCUAAAACUGAACCUCUGCAGAGGCUCCAAAAGAGAAAUGCCUUGCUUUUAAGCCCCUGAGUGAGAGGGAUCCUGAGGAAGUGGCAGAGGGGAUGAACCUAAGCUUUGGGACAUAACAACCGGCACCUCCAGUGGCCACCACUCCUAGCUAUGCUGCCUGUGGAUGGGGCCCCCAGUGCUGGCCCCUAACAGCAUGGGGAAGCCUCCCCAGCCACUCUGAAGCUGUUCGCAUCACAUCCAAGAUGAACCUAGGCAGGGAGGCUGAGUGUGCUUGGGAGAUGCCAAGUUAGGGAAGUAAGUUCCCCAGGGUCCUUCAACUUGUGGUGCCUGAGGAUAGCUGCUUUUUUUCCAGUGCAGAUGGAGACACGGCAGCCUUGGGGGGAUGUGUGAAAGUAAGGCCUCCCUCCCUCUGCCUUUCCAAGUGGCUGAUCAUCUCCUUCCUUCUCAUAGCUACUUCUAGGAGAGGCAUCCAGGCAGGAACCACUUCUCCAUUUCACAGAUGGGAAGACUGAGAACCAUACUGGAAAGGGGUGUAUUUUAAUUAAACUGGAGAGUGGGGAACACUGAUGAGGAAAGCAAGCUGAUAGACGGAAGGCUCUGCCUGUCACUGCCAGCACGGGCACUUGGGCCUUCUUAUCAAGGGUUCUGAUGGGAGUUUCCACUAGGAUUCCAGGUGUCGAUCAUCUAGUAGCCGAGUUCUGAUGAGCUGGACUUUGGGUGGUUGAGGUAGGGAGCAGUGGAAAGGGGAAUUGGAGUCUUAUCAACCUCUUUGAACACCAGUUCCUUCCCCUCUCUUCUAUAAAAAUGUCGUAGCAAUACCUGCCUGGCAGAGUUGUGAGAAUUAAAUGAGAUGAUGAAUACAUCUGCUCUCAGCACCACACCACACCUGUGGCAGUCCUCAGAGAGAAGAAUCACAGCUUUCAUUCAUUGAGAGCUCACUAAGUGCCAGGUAUGCUCAGCUCUUGUGCAGACGUUCUUUUUCUUUGGAUGUAAAUGUGACAUGGGCAGAGCAGGAGGAGCUGUGAGGCUGGCUUGGCUGAGCCACAGGGAUUGCUGGCAUCUUAUAUGGCAUUCAGGACUAUGGAGGGUCCACGGGAAGAAACACAGAAACAGAACCCAAGUAUCCUUCGGGGACUCUUGGACUUUCUUCCCCUUGAUCUUAGACAUGCCUCAGUAAACAGAUGCUGGUUUCUAUCGAGACUCAUUCCUGGGGAAGGACCCCCACCAGCCAAGCAAGGUAAAGCCCAGACUCAGUUACAUGAAUUACAGGUUUAAGACAGAAGCCUUCCUAUGAAUAUUUUUCUGGCCAGUGGCUUAUAUAAGAGAAAUUUGCUCAUUGUAUUUCUAUCUGGCCAACGAAGGGGUCUAGAGGGGCUUUCAGCAACCCAAACAGUCUUGUCAGCCCUAACUCUGGACCUAAGGAAAUAAUUAUGAAUCCUCAAGAUCCAUUUAAAAGUGUCAUUACUGUAGAUAAACAAAGACGAGUGGAUGCUUCUUCCUACUCCACCUCACUGCAGAGAUUCCAUCCAUCCCAGGGUCACUGACCACUGACUGGAUGAACUAGGAUUGGUGUGGCAGAGUGGAGUUUUCAGGAGCCAAGAGACUCCUGGAUUGUCAUGCUCUGUACUCCUUCCCCACGAAAGGAAUGUCUAGAACUCCUGCUGAAAGUAGUCAUUGCCUGCAUUUCCUAGGCAGAAUGUGUUAGCUCCCUCCCCAGAAGAACCUGGGCGAAGAAGGUGUUCCAAUCUGCAUUUGGAAAGAAUCCCUCCCGCAAAGAACUCUACACCCUCUAAGAGAAGAUAACGUGAGGGCAUAUUCUCCUCUCUUAGAGGGUGUUUUCAAUACUAAAUUCUAUCUCUGAAGAGAAUGAGGACCCGAAGGGGGGCAGUGCACCA